CCUCGGAUCAGGUAGGGAUACCCGCUGAACUUAAGCAUAUCAAUAAGCGGAGGAAAAGAAACCAACCGGGAUUGCCUCAGUAACGGCGAGUGAAGCGGCAAGAGCUCAAAUUUGAAAGCUGGCUCCUUCGGGGUCCGCAUUGUAAUUUGCAGAGGAUGCUUCGGGUGCAGCCCCCGUCUAAGUGCCCUGGAACGGGCCGUCAUAGAGGGUGAGAAUCCCGUAUGGGGCGGGGUGUCUGCGUCCGUGUGAAGCUCCUUCGACGAGUCGAGUUGUUUGGGAAUGCAGCUCUAAAUGGGUGGUAAAUUUCAUCUAAAGCUAAAUACUGGCCGGAGACCGAUAGCGCACAAGUAGAGUGAUCGAAAGAUGAAAAGCACUUUGAAAAGAGAGUUAAACAGCACGUGAAAUUGUUGAAAGGGAAGCGCUUGCAACCAGACUCGCUCGCGGGGUUCAGCCGGGCUUCGGCCCGGUGUACUUCCCCGCGGGCGGGCCAGCGUCGGUUUGGGCGGCCGGUCAAAGGCCUCCGGAAUGUAGCGCCCUUCGGGGCGCCUUAUAGCCGGGGGUGCAAUGCGGCCAGCCUGGACCGAGGAACGCGCUUCGGCACGGACGCUGGCAUAAUGGUUGUAAACGACC
This 630-nucleotide ribosomal RNA is filed under the name Aspergillus terreus. RNAcentral's name for it is "eukaryotic LSU rRNA". It matches the Rfam family "Eukaryotic large subunit ribosomal RNA", at positions 1 to 649 of the family's 3401-position model. The record is from RNAcentral. Lineage: Eukaryota; Fungi; Ascomycota; Eurotiomycetes; Eurotiales; Aspergillaceae. RNAcentral also lists the same sequence under 3 other names.